GAUGAAGAACGCAGCGAAAUGCGAUAAGUAGUGCGAAUUGCAGAAUUCAGUGAAUCAUCGAAUCUUUGAACGCACAUUGCGCCCCUUGGUAUUCCAUGGGGCAUGCCUGUUCGAGCGUCAUUUGUACCUUCAAGCUUUGCUUGGUGUUGGGUGUUUGUCUCGCCUUUGCGUGUAGACUCGCCUUAAAAUAAUUGGCAGCCGGCGUAUUGAUUUCGGAGCGCAGUACAUCUCGCGCUUUGCACUCAUAACGACAGCGUCCAAAAGUACAUUUUACACUCUUGACCUCGGAUCAGGUAGGGAUACCCGCUGAACUUAAGCAUAUCAAUAAGCGGAGGA
This 336-nucleotide unclassified non-coding RNA is filed under the name soil metagenome. RNAcentral describes it as "partial contains 5.8S ribosomal RNA, internal transcribed spacer 2, and large subunit ribosomal RNA". The stretch from base 1 to 120 matches the Rfam family "5.8S ribosomal RNA", at positions 35 to 154 of the family's 154-position model. The record is from RNAcentral.